AAAUGGGCAAAUGUGCCAAUGACUGAGAGUCAACUCUCCUUGGUGAGUGCCUCAGAACUUAGGAAAAGAGAACAGCGCAUGUCUCUCUCAUGAAGAUGACAGAGGACAAAAGCAAGCAGAAAUAUACAAGGAUUUGCGUACUCUAUUAUGAAUUUCUCUUUGAGAAAUAAUACCUGUGAGAAUGCUGCUCCUUCAAUUAGGUUCAGGAUUGGAGGAAAAAUCAUAUAAAAUAGUUGGUAAUCUUUCUUCUCUAGAAAGUGGCAACGAUAUAUAGUACUGUUGAACCAUGCCUGCCAGUGUCAAUUCCUGAAAUGGCAAAAGAAAAGGGAAGAAGAAAAGAUAAUGCUAUAAUGAUCAGCUCCCAAACCUCUACUUAAAGCAUAAAUGGAGAAAAGAAAGCUCGGUGUAGUGCUACGGAACACUAUUCGGCAUUAAGCAGAGUAAAUAGCUUAGUCAACAGUGUGGGCCAUUGUCAGUCUUUAUUUGUCAUCUCUCACUGAGUGAUCACAACUCAGCCUCUUAUGUGUCCUGGAAGUGUCCAAUCUCCAAGUUAACUAUUUAUUAAGAGGAGAUGCAUCUUAAAAGUAAUGCCUCAUAUUUAGGGGAAUUAUAUUAAAGAUAUCUCAUUUUGUCAACCCUGCUAUUCGUUCCAUCCUUUCCAUGUAACACUAAUAAGAGGACACUCUACUGCACUGGUGUCUCAUCUGUGAUGAUUCAAAUGUUCUGUUUUCUUCAUGAUACUGUGUUGUAGACAAAAUUAUAAAGCAAGUAAAUUUGUGGGAGUUUUGGCAAUCGUAGAAAGCCAGUAAAGAAAAAUUUUCUAAGCCAUUUGAAUUAUAACAAAUUACACACAUAUUAAAGCUACACAAAUAAAAUAACUUUAUUUGGGUAUUUGGAUUGCAGGCUCUUGAAAAAUUUCAAAUUUGUCAGUCUUCCAAGUUGCAUAAAAGGCAUAAAAGUCUUUUUUAUUUAAUGUAGUGCUAUAAUUCUCCAGCUGAUAGAAUCAAAGCGUAAUUGCCUAAAUGUAUUUUCUAGUCAGUGUUGAAUCUCUGCCUAAUUUUCACAAUUAUUAGCCCUAAAUGACAAUACCAGUUGAUACAGUCUCAGGGAAUCCAAGCUAAUUUUAAUGUUCAUUCAAGCAAGACAGAAUCAUGAAGGUAUUCUCUUGGGGAAAAAUUCCUAUUAAUACAUUAUAAAAGCAAAUUGUGAGCUCUAAUUGUCAUGAUUUUGAGUUUAGUGUGCAAUGCUGCUCUCCUCUAUUAGCAGAUGAUGAAAAACUUCAUUGAAAAUGAAUGUGCAUGUGUACUUCACCUGAAAAUAAAAACAAUGUGUGUGUUUCUGAAAGUAUAUUAAAAUUAUAUUAGAGAUGAUUAACAACAAAUUGGAACUUAGACAGCUCCCACAAAGUAAUAUCAUUGUAAUCAUAUCUAUUUUGUAAAGGUCCCCUUUGUAGAGAAUAAAACAAAUUAGGUGUGUGUUACAGGUUGAAUUAUGUUCUCUCCCAAAAUUCCUAUGUUGACGUUUUAACCCCAGGUACCUUAGAAUGUGAAACCUUGUUUAGAAAUAGUGCUUGUUGUUGAAGAUGUAUUUAGUUAAGUUAGGAUGAAGUCAUAUUAGAAUAAAGUGGCCCCCUAAUCCUAUAUGACCGGUGCACUUAUAAAAGGAGGAAAAUAUCCAUUCUUCAGUCCAUGGGUCAAGAAAUAAUUCUGCCUUUCAUAUCCUAUUACUUAAGAAAUACAUUUCUUAAUGCUAUAGCUGACAUAGAUAGUGAUUCCUCUUAUGGAUCUGGGUAAAGUACAUCAAAAACCUUCUGGAAAGGAUUCACCAUUCUAGGUGCCAUUAACAACACUCAUGAUUCAUGGUAGGAAGUCAAAAUAUGAACAUUAACAGAAGUUUGGGAGAAGCUGAUUCUAGUCCAUGUGGGUGAUUUUGAGGGGAUUAAAACUUCAGUGGAGGAAGUAACUGCAGAUGUGGUAGAAAUAGCAAGAGAACUAGAAUUAGAAGUGGAACCUGAAGAUGAGACUGAAUUGCUAUAAUCGCAUUAUAAAACUUGAAUGGAUGAGGGGCUGCUUCUUAUGUAUGAGCAAAACAAGUGAUUUCUUCAGAUGAAAUCUACCCUUGGUAAAGAUGUUGCAAACAUUGCUGAAGUGACAACAUAGAAUUUAAAAUAUUACAUAAAUUUACCUGAUAAAAUAGUGGCAGGGUGUGAGAGGACUGCCUCUAAUUUUGAAAGAAGUUUCUACUGUGGGUAAAAUGCUACCAAACAACAUCAUAUGCUAUAGAGAAAUCUUUUGUGAAAGGAAGAGUCAAUCAGUUGAUGCUGCAAGCCUCAUUGUUAUCUUAUUUUAAUAAAUUGCCAUAGCCACCUCAACUUUCAGCAAUUACCACCCUGAUCAGUCAGCAAUCAUCAAUAUAGAUGCAAGACUCUCCACUAGCAAGAUGAUUAUGACUCACUGAAGGCUCAGCUGAUUCUUAGCAUCUUAGUAAUAUUUUUUAAAUAAAGUAUAUACAUUUUUAGACAUACCGCCAUUACCCACUUAAUAGACUACAGCAUAGUGUAAAUAUAACUUUUAUAUACACUGGGAAACAAAAAUAUAUAACUUAUAUUUUGAUAUUUGCUUUAUCAGUAGUAUCUCCAAGAUAUGUCAGUGUGUGCAGUCAUGUGUCACUUAACAAGGGCGAUAUGUUCUGAGGAAUGUGUCAUUAGGGUAUUUUGUCAUUGUGGGAACAUCAUAGAGUAUAUCUACACAAACAUAGACAGCCUCUCCUACUACACACCUGGACUAUUUGGUAUUGCCCAUUGUGACUAGGCUGUAAACCUGUGCAGCUUGUUACUGUACUGAAUAGUGUAGGCAAUUGUAGCACAAUGGUAAAAUGGUAUUUGUACGUCUAAACACUUCUAGGCUAUCUCUCAGGGUUUUUUAAAAAUAGUUUUAGGUGUUACAUUUUAGCCUUUAAUCCAAGUUGAUUUCUGUAUAUGGUAUAAGGAAGAGGCCCAGUUUUAAUCUUUUGUGUAUGGCUAACCAGUUAUCCUAGCACUAUUUAUUGAAUAAGAAGUCCUCUUCUCAUUGCUUAUUUUGUCAACUUUUGUGAAACAUCACAUGGUUAUCAGUGUUGUGGCAUUAUUUCUGGGCUCCCUAGUCUGUUCCAUUGACCUGUGUGUCUGUUUUUGUACCUGUAUCAUGCUGUUUUGGUUAUUGUAACCUUAUAGUAUACUUUGAGGUUCAGUAACGUGAUGCCUGUAGCUUUGUUCUUUUUGCUUAGAAUUGUCUUGACUAUUUGGUCACUUUUUUAGUUCCAUAUGAAUUUUGAAAAAGUUUACACAGCCCUAAAAAGGAAUGAGACCAUACCCUUGGCAGCAACAUGGAUGAAGUUGUAGGCCACUAUCCUAAAUGAACUAACACAGGAACAGAAAACCCGAAUACCACAUGUUCUCACUUAUAAGUGGGAGCUAAACAUUGAGUGCACAUGGAUACAAAGAAGAUGACAACAGACACCAGGGCCUACUUGAGAGUCAGGGGUGGGAGGAGGGAGAGGGUUGAAAACUACCUAAUGGGCACUAUGCUUAUUAGCUGGGUGAUGAAAUAAUCUGUAUACCAAACCUCUGUGGCAUGCAAUUUACCUAUAUAACAAACCUGCACAUAAACCCCUGAACCUAAAAUAAAAAUAAAAGCAAAUAAACAUAUCUAAACAUAGUAAAGAUACAGUAUUAUCAUAUUAUGGGAUCACCAUCAUAUAUGCAGUUCAUCAUUGAUCAAAAUGUCAUUAUGUGGCUCAUAUCUGUAUUAGAUUAUCUCUAUUUUCUCUGCUCAAAUGAAAGCAUGCUGUGCAAGUUUUUAUACUGUGUAUUUGGAAAAUUUGCCACGUUGAUUAGUAAAAUGUUGCCUCAUUCUUUUUGAUGACUCUAUAUUCCAUUGUUUGAAUGCAUCAUAAAUUAUGUAACUAUCCCUAUUAAUGGAUAUUAUUGCUUAAGAUAUGUUCUAUUAUGAAAGUGCUUAGGAGAGUUUAGAAAUGACAAGAAUGACAUGGAACAUGAAGAAGAGGUUAUGUAAUAAGAAAUAAACAUCAGAUUGGCCUGCAAUAUCUUCUUUGCAACACUGAAUUCCAGAAGGCAGUGAGGCAAUGUUUGCUGUAUGUUAAUGGAAAGGAUGUAACCUCACAUUUUAUAUAUAGUAAAUUGUUCAAACACGUACACUAUAAAGGUAUAAUGCCCAUGAAAAGAACAAUUCUCGGAAACAUGUUAAUAGCUGUGUUUUAUUUUCCAAAGGUUCCUGCAAUAAUAUUGCCCCUUGAGUAUGGGUGGGCUUGUGACCUGCUCAGUGCUAAGGAAAUGCAGUGGAAAUGAUGCUGUGUAACUUCUGAGGCCAAGUUAUAAAAGAUCAUGCAUCUUUUGCCUUGUUAGAAAAGUUUGCUGACGCCUGAUAUGGAGCACUAGAAAGAAAUUAUUUUUCCAAGCAUCAACCCGGAAGUCCCAGCAUACCGAGGGUGGCAGACAUCAUUUCUUCAAUGAACUUAGUAUUUAGAAAGAUAUCUUCACUCCAAGCAUCAAGUCUUUUCUGUCCUGCAAAAGUCUUAAGUCAAACCAGAAUCCACUAGUAGAGGGCACCUUUGGAUUCAACAGUAAAAGGAGAAUCUACAAAACCAGCUCAUCAAAAGGGGCAGUGAUGGGUAUAGAAGCCUGACCUUGCUCUAAGUUCAAGCAAUGAUUAAUCUAGCUUCCCUCCUGGUGGGUGACUGAGGCCUUUGCCUGAGGACAACUUUAAAGAGAUAUUGAAUGAAGCUAUGAUACCUGUAGCAGUUACUGCCAUUUUGGACCCAUAAACUGACAAUCCUUAAACAUUACCAGGAGGGCAGAGCGGAAAGAACAUUGAUGUCAUCACUGAGUUGCUGGAUUACCUUACUCUAGAAAUAGCCAACUCUGCAUGUUUGGUUAUUUUUUUAAAAAGUCUUCUUUAUUAUUUACAUCAUUUUGAAUGGGCUCUAACUCUAGCUCUUAUAGUAAAAAGCAUUUGAACUGAUACAAAUAAUUAUCUCCAUAUGGUUAUUUUGAGAAUUAAAUGAGAUAACACAUAAAAUGUAUGCUUGGGACAACGUCAUACAUAACACUCAAGAGUACAUAUUGUUAGUAUUAUUGAUGUUGUUGAUGUUAAAGCUGUUACUUCCUGCAAUGAUCUUGCAAUGCAUCAGGUUUUGACUUUAGUUUUGGGCAAAAUUAUGAGGCUUGAUUAGGAAAACAUGAUGAAAAUUUUAUUUCCUACAGCCCAUUUUCUUCUUUCAGCAUGUCUUUUACUUACUUUCAUGCCCCUUUGAGUCUCCCCAAUCAUCUAGAAAGGGGAUCUACUAGUGAUGGCAACAAAGGAGCAUGGACUGCUUAAUAAGGCAAUUUUUAACCCAAAAGAAUAAAUCCCAGCGUUAGAAUUCCAAACACAAUAUCAAGUUGUGGGUAAGAAUUUGGAGUAAGCAGGACUUCUCUACAUCUCCAAAAUGUUAUCACACAAGCCUCUACCUGUAUGUAAAGCCAAACUUUCCAGUAUACAAUUGGGCACUAAAUUCCAGAUAGUUUUUUUUAUCUGGUCAUGGCCUUGUAAGAAAAGAAUUCUCCUUUCCUGUUUAAUGUUAACAUUUAAUAACUAUCAGGUGGUGACCUGGGCACUGCAGAUCAUUAUCUGUUGUCAGUGACAGUGCUGUUCAUUUUCAAACCAGUAAGAGAAGUUUUUUUUUCCUUUUCGUAUCCGUAAAAUUUGUGAGGGAUUUAAAACUUGAAAAAUGUGGGUUUUUCUUGCAUUUCCAAUGGACUAGGUCUUUACAAUCAUUAACUGUUUUAAAGUUGAGAAGAGCUGCUAAAUUCUUCCGAGCGUGAAAAAAGAUGGGCAUGUGCUGUAAAUUGACAUAAAAAAAGUGGCAGCUUUGAAAGUUUGCAAGAUCAUUUUUACCAGAGCUUAUAUUUGGUAUGAGAUAUCAGUAAAGCAGUUUUUUUUUGUUUUUUUUUUGUUUGUUUGUUUUUGAGAUGGAGUCUCACUCUGUUGCCCAGGCUGGAGUGCAGAGGUGCCAUCUUGGCUCACUGCAACUUCUAUCUCCUGGGUUCAAGCAAUUCUCCUGCCUCAGCCUCCCGAGUAGCUGGGAUUACAGGUGCGUGCCUCCAUGCCCGGCUAAUUUUUUGUACUUUUAGUAGAGACGAGGUUUCACCAUGUUGGCCAGGAUGGUUUUGUUCUCCUGACUUUGUGAUCCGCCCACCUCGGCCUCCCAAAGUGGAGGGAUUACAGGGGUGAGCCACUGCACCCAGCUGUAAAGCAGAUUAUUAGGAGGAAUAGUUAACUAGGAAAAAAAGGACAAACAUCACAUUUCACUUCUAUCUGCCCUUAAGAAAUAUGACAAUAAUCUGAAAAAUUGUCUAAAAUACCUAGAAUGCCUUGAGAUCAAUUUGAUGACUUAUCUGUUAGACAACUAUACAGAAGGCAGAUCUCUUCAUUGCAAUGCCCCCAAGAAGGCCUUAAAGGGACUGUUUUCUCCGCUAUGUUCUAUCUAUCCUCACAGGUAGGACCAGCUAUACAAUUUUAUUAAGAAUUUUAAGACAAUGAUAAUAGAGCAUUAAUCCAGCACAGGACCCUUCUGACCUGAUUCUGUGCUACUACACAGGAUGUCUAUCUGUGAAGCUGGCCCUGCUGGAAGGGUCUGAUUUUACUCAUCUCUCUGCUCCUUUAGUGCUGGGUAAGUGAAGCAGAGGAAAGAGAAUGUAGAGAGACAGACAUGAUUGAAAACUUGGCUUUUUUUCUUUUUAAAUGUGUGGAUGUGAGUGGGUGAGUUAAAGUCUUUGUCUGUUGCAUGACACUGUUCAGAAAGUCUAAUGCUGCAUCUUGCACAAGAGGGUCUCAGUAAAUGGUUCAGGAGACUUUGGGUUUGAAUUCUAUAAAAACCUAGUCUGUUGUCCAGGUGACUAUGGCUCUAUUUGAGUGAGUGCUAGGUCAUGGUUUUAUGGGCUUUAUUUCAUUCUAUAGCAUACAUCCUAAUGUUAGCUUAUAAAUACAAUCAUGCAUUGCUUAAUAAUGGAGAUACAUUCUGAGAAAUACAUCAUUAGACAAUUUCAUCCUGUGGGAACAUCAUAAAGUAUACGUAUGCAAACCUAGAUGAUACGGGCUACUACACAGCUGAGUUAUAAGGUAUCACCUAUUGCUCCUAGGCUAUAAACCUGUGCUGCAAACCUGUACAGCAUGUUACUCUACUGAACAUUGUAGGCGACCGUAACACAGUGGUAAGUGUUGUGUGUCUAAACAUAUCUAAACAGAAAAGGUACAAUAAAAAUAUAGUAUAAAAAGUUUUUAAACUUGUGCACCCAUACAGAGCACUUACCAUGAAAAAAAAAGCUUUCAGGGCUGGGAGUUGUUCUGAUGAGUCAGUGAGUGUGUGUUGAGUGAAUGUGAAGGUCUAGGAUAUUACUGUACACUACUGUGGAAUUUUUAUACACCAUACACUUAGGCUACAUUGAAUUUAUAAAAAAAAAAAAAAGUAAUUAUGCCUCAGCAUUACAGUGGCUAUGAUGUCACUAUGCAAUGGGAAUUUUUCAGCUUCAUUAUAAUCUUAUGGGAUCACCAUCAUAUAUGCAGUCCAUCCUUGACUGAACCAUCGUUAUGUGUCACAUGACUGUGUACGAGUUUGGUCACAAGAAAAGCUGAUUGAGAAGUCCUGGAGUGGCUAAAUCCACUCUCAUCACAUAAAAACUAAUUCAGAAGGUUUGGCAGUAUUGUAUCUCUAUAUAGUAGGUGGCAUAUUGUUAUCAUUACAAAUAAUGGAAGAUUUUCUCCUUUCUUUUACUGUUUUAUAUUGCUUAACAUAUUCCAGAUAGGUAAUGGCAUUUAUGUCUUUUACUUUUUUGCUUUGAAUUGACAAUCGUAAUAUGUCUCUAAUCUAAAAGCCAAUGUCUAAAUUCCAAAUAACAUAGAAAUAAGGUGCUUCUUUGGAAAUCCUCAGUUAAAAUAAACUAAAAUAUCCUUUGUUUGAACUUCAUAUCUAAUGUUGGAAAAGUGGUUACCUCACCGAUCUGCUUCUAGUACUCACAUUUCUUUUCUUUUCUUUUUUCUUUUUCUUUUUUUCUUUUCUUUUUUUUUUUUUUGAGACAGAAUCUCGCUUAGUUGCCCAGGCUGGAGUGCAGUGGCUGGCGCGAUCUCAGCUCACUGCAAGCUCCGCCUCCCAGGUUCAAGUGAUUCUCCUGCCCCAGCCUCACGAGUAGCUGGGACUACAGGCAUAUGCCACCACAUUGAGCUAAUUUUUGUAUUUUUAGUAGAGAUGGGUUUUCACCAUGUUGGCCAGGAUGGUCUCGAUAUCUUGACCUCGUGAUCUGCCCUCCUCGGCCUCCCAAAGUGCUGGGAUUACAGGCGUAAGCAUCCAUGUGAGUACUAGGCUGGGUACUAGGCACCCAGCCUAGUACUCACAUUUCUAAGAAUAGACGUAAUGAAAACUAAAUAGGUGACCAAGAGAGAAAUAGAUUACACUCAUUAUUAAUUAUUCUAUAGCUGCAUGACAUGUUGAAGAAAGCUUUAGAUCAACAGUAAAAUUAGUUAAAUUAUCUGCCCUGAUUUCUUGUUACCCUGUAUUUAAGAUUUUUGCCCAUCCUUGGACAAAGUUGCCAUUGGAAAAAAGGAAAUGUCCCUUUGGACUUGGAUUUAGUCCUAAGAUAUUCUUCAAAUGUUGACUGACACCUGAAAACACACAUGGUUUUUGGAAUACCAUCUUUAAACAAGUGAAGAUAUUGAAGCCUAGAGAUAUGAAAUAAGUAUGCUGCCUAGUGUUAGGCACUUAAGCACGAUGAUGUUUCCAUGUUCACAGGAAAUGGAAAGAUUGUCUCACUGAAUAAAUGUUUGUUUCUCUUGGCGAAUAAGGAUCUGACCAGUGUAUUACUUGAUUGUAUUUAUUUUAUGUCCUUCUGUAGUUGUCUCUAUCAGUGUGUGGUUAGAUUUUUAACUCCCAAAUGGUGAAGCUGGUGCUUAGUGUCAUCUAAUAAUGUCUUUAAAUCCCUCUUUAAAUCUGGAGACCAGGACAUGCCUGGCUUGUUAUCAUUAUUAGGAAUCCAUUUUAAGAUUCAGGUUUCAUGUGAUACACAUGAAACACGAAGCCAGCCAGAAGCCACACUUGUAUUGGUUGUUUCCAUACCUUGCCUUUGACAAUGGCAUCAACUCUCACAAUUAGCAAUGUGGGAAUCAUAAGUGGAUGAAGGGGAUUGAUGACAUAGUACAGAAUAAAUGAUAUCCUCACAUAGGCCUUUCCUAAGAAGUAUUAACUGUAGGCAGCCACCACUCUAUCUGGAGGAAAAUGGAUCACCACACUGAUAAGCUUGAGACCUUCAAAAAUAAUCAUAAAUAUAAAGCCUACAAGGAAAAAUUAAUACAAUCAAAUAAACUUCAAAAGCUUAAAAAGUUUGCUUUCCUCCUCCCCAGCUUUAAUUUCUAUCAAAGCUAUGCUGUGAAAGCGUCAAAAAACUAAAACUCUACUAUGUUUAAAAUAUGUAAGAAACUGGCUGAUGAGAGAUUAUGGUGAAUGAGGUCUGAGAUGUUGCUGAAUCUCUGUGUGGCUGCCUUUGGCUUGAAAAUAAGAGCCUUUGUUUGCAGCCAUCACUAUUUUUGUUCCGUGGUGACAAAGUAGCAGUUUCAGAUAAAUGGCUGUGGGAAUAGAGAUGUGCCAGAAUUAGGGGAAGAAGUACUGCAUAGAUGAGAUUCACAGUAUAACACAGAAAGCAGCAGUGAUGUCACACAACAGUUCAGAGUUUGGAAUCAAUCAAACACAGGCAUAAUCCAGGCUCAGUCCUAGGUACAUUUCAGUAAGUUGUUCACUACAUCUGAACCUUAACUUCAUCAUCUCAUAAACAGGACUUAAACAAUCUACCUACCUACCUACCACGAUGGAUUGAAAUUGAAAUGGAGUGAUUUAAAGCACCAGAUCCAGGCUCAUAAUGGCCCUGGCACUUGCCAACCACAUAACCACGGGCAAGUUCCUGAGUCUAUGGACCUCAGUUUCCUCACUCGUACAAGGCAGGGAAUGCCAUCUACCUUGCAAAGUUGAUUUGACAAUUAAAGCUCCUGGAACAUAAUAAUUAAUAAAUGUUAGUUAUUCACAUUCAACAAAUACAUAGUGUGUGCCUACUAUUUGUGGGGCACUGCCCAAACUACUAAUGAAACUAAUGCACACAAAGUGCCUUGAGCAUAGAAGACACUCAAGAAAUAUUUGAUGAAUAAGAGGAAAGGCAAGCUUCUUGGUGUGUCCCUGAGAUUUGGUUAGGCUUCAGAUAUCCAAUCCAGUAUUCUUUAGGUGUCACUGGACAAAUGACUGGUUUUUGCUGGCAUUGCUAAUUCACAGAAAGUAGAGUCCAAAGUAUCCCUUUACCUAACAAUAAGACUCACAGGAAGAAAGGAAUGAUUCAUUGUACUUUUCUUUCUCUGAGGUAUAUUCUAUUGUCCUGAGGGGCAACAAGAAUCAGGUCAGCCAGAGGAGAAGACAAAAAAAUUAUCACAGAUUUUUUUUAAGAAGGCACUUAAAAUGGAAAAUGAAAUACAUAUUUUUCAAAAUUAAAAGCCAAUAUCUUUAUAUUGAGGUAACUAUGAGAUUAGUGAUUAUGAAAACCUUCAAUAAACGGUAAGCAGUAUUUGAUGUAUUCAUGCAUUUUUGCAGGGGAGAAAGAGGUGAUAGGUUUUAUAAAGUUUUAGAGGAAAUUGCUAUUCAUAAAAGGAUUAAGACCUACUGGAGAAUGAGUAUUGGAGAAAUAAAAUUAGGAGAUUAAAAUGAUUUUGAGGCCAAAGAUUAGAUGUAUGGAAUGUAAAUGUAAAUAUAAAGAAGGGUCUGAGUCAGAAAUAAGUGAUCAAGCUAGUUAGUUUCCAAAAGGGAUAAAAAAAUCUACCUUAGGGAAAGCAUUCUCUGCAUAAUUGGUGUCAAGAUGCAAUGAAGUCUGCUGAUCCACACAUCUCCCGAUUAAUUAGGGACUUGGAAGGUUUUUGAGAGAUCAAAAAUAUGCAUUAUGAAAACACAUUCUCAACAACAGUUUCAAUCUGUUGAUAAUUUUCAUAGAUUAAUUUGCUUGAAAUAUGAAACUCUAAAAACAGUAGACUUUGAAAUCAACAACAAAAAGAAAAAAUUGAUGUCACCUGAGUUGAGUAUUCAGUGCUGCUUUAAUGCUUUUUAAAACAAAGUAUGCCAACAUCCAUAGUGCAUAAACAAAGUAGAGUGACAUGGGUGCAUUAGCAUUUAAUGAAAACAAAUGCCAGGAAACACCCUUGAAAUUUCAAGGCAUUUUGUAAGAAUAGGCAUUAGGGAGGAUCUGAUGGGGUUAGAAUGGAUUGGUGUUUCAGAACAUUCUCUCUAUUGUUAAUGAAUGCGUGAAUCAGCCACUUAACUUCUAUUCUAUCUGAAACAUGGGGAAUUCCCCGGAAAAGAUUUCUUAAUACUCUAUCCUGAGCAACAGAGAACAUCUCAUGCUUUGCUCCAUUUCUCAAUUUACAUUUUUUUUUAAGUAGGAGUGGUAUAAGAUAAUGAUCAGGGAUGGGGGCAGAGAAUGGGCAUUAAAUUUGGUUUGUAGACUUAGUGUUUUCAAAUCCUGGAUUGUUUAAUAAUUUUAAAAACAGACAGAAAGUAAACCAAAUAUCUGAAAAUACAAAAUUAUUUUAAUAAUUAUUAUGUGUGCUUGUAUUUACAGACAUCUAGGUCUGUGUAAACUUUGACCUCUCACCCGUUUCUGAAUAUGUAUUUAUUCCGUCUUGAUUUCUCCUAGCAUCCAUUUCUCCUUCUAGGAGUAUCUCUCAGAUCUUUCUAAUAGAAUUAUCCCCACCUAGCUCAUCACAUAUUAGAUUAAGGUAGCACUAAUCCCCCAUCCCCAGCCUAACCAAAUUCCAGGGGGUUAUGACUUAGGUUAUGCAAUAAGAGUAUUUUGUCAUCUUGGCUGCAGUGACUGGCUCAGGGCCAGGCUUGUCCCAAGUCAGGCAAAUGAGACUCAAUCCCAAGAUGUAAGUGCCUGAAUUCUGUAGGGUUGCUGAGUUGGCAGGACAUGAAUCUGGACCUUCAAGGCCCCACUCUAGAGGACAGCCUUCUGAGAAUGAAGACAGAGAAUCACAGUGGCAUUUGGGCAUUUGCCUCCAACCAUAUCUGAAGCUAGAGAUACCCCUAAACUUUUUGACAUCUGAAUCAAUACUUUCCUUGUUCUUCCUUUUAGGGGCUAAGAGGUAGGAAAAGGAGGAGGUUUUUCUUGUAAAUCCAGUUUAGAUUUAGUUUAAUAAGUUUCUCCAAAGAAUGUAUACAAGAACACUCUCUAUUCUCUUUGCCUGGAAAACCUUCUUGUCUUCUCUUUACCUCCCAUAUGCUCAUUUUUUAAGGCCUAGCUCAAACCCCACUCCUUCCAGGAAGUCUUCCUUGAAUAUCCAGCCAGAUGAGCUCACCCUCCUUUGACCUCUUACAGCACUCAGUGUUUCUAUCCCUUAUCUGCCAGGAUUGUUGACCUUGUAGUGCUGGUUGUUGUUUUUUUUUUUUUUCAAGUGAUACUCUUAAUUCCUAAAAAGGUAAAGUCAGUCCUUAAAUGUUUUUAUUCUCCUCAGCCUUUGCCAAAGAAGGUUAUACACAGUAUGUGAGCAAUAUAUAUUUGUAGCUUUAAUUAAUGUGAUAAAAGUAGAUACAUUUUUUAUUCACUGUUGUCCAGGAUAAAACCUUGCAUAAAAUACAUGAUUGCAGUCAUAAGGAAGAUAAACAUCAGGGAUUGCAGCUUUCAGGAUGAUCCUAUCUCAUGUAAAAGGAAGGGCAAAUAGAGAGUAUUAGAAUUGUGACCUCAUGCGUAUUAUAUGGUGAACAUCUUUCAUUGCUAGGAGCAAAGAAGCUCAGUGUUAGUCUCUGCCAUUUAUCAUGUUUUACUCACAGUAUUCUCAACAUCAGAAGAGUCUUGGUCUUAUUAAACCAUAAUAUAUAUUUUAAUUAGGCAUUAAACUGAAACCUAUAAAUGAAAUAAAUCUCAGCUAUUAAAAUAUCUGAAUUCUCAGCACUCAACACCACCACACUUAAGAUCAUUUCAACAAAAUCACCAAACUUGCUUACCAGAAAGAAUGAUUGCCCAUGUCCUUACUUGAGCUCCCUGCUGCUGCAAUCUAUUUUUCUUGUUCAGUUCCCUGUUUUUCACCAGCCUCAUUCUACAGUCUGCCUGCCACUGGUUUAAAAACGUAUUCAAAUCAGUAGGCAAGCUGUAUUAGGAUCAUACUGUCCAGACUGUUCUAGCAAUGCUGAUGCAUUUAAUAUAAAUGCAUUGUGGACAUACUGUGUACAAUGCCUAAAGGAAGUCCGGCAGGUUGUAAACAAAGGUUCCACUCAAGAAAAAACUUAAGGCUUAACAGAGAAAAGAAACCUGAGCUCCAGUCUUUCUGAUGUAAGUGUAGGCAAAGUGAGUGUCCACGUUCCAGAAGUGUGAGUCUUCCCAGUCUCUCCCUGUCCACCCUCCAUCCUCCUACCACUCACAAACCUCCUCUUCCUUCCACUUUUGUGGGGCUGAGUUUAUCACAGAGCUGAAUGUGUCUAAAGAAUAGGAACCUGGGGGUAGUUAAAUGCAAUAACAAUUCUCCAAGUCUCACAGUAACUUAGAAGCCAAGGUUUCAAAAUCACAACUGUAUUUCUGGUCCCAGAUUCAGCCAUUAUCAGUCUUAUCACCAAUUAUAUUUUUCAUUGGGUAUGGGCAAAUUGUUUUCUGACAAGGUCAUUUCAAUAAAAUUGCUUUGAUUUUUUUUAAGUCUAUUGUCUCAAAUUCACAUUUCAUCAGUUUUGUCUCACAGAUAGGCUCAUGUAGCAUAAUUCCUUUUUUCAUCAUCUUCCAAAACUGAUCACUGCAAGAUUACUUUGUGAAUGUUUAUUUUCAUAUUCUCAUUGGUAACUGGUGGCACUUCAAGGUGAAGAAUGUGUUUUUCUUGGUCAUUACAUAUUUGACUAAUGCCAGAAAUUACUUCCAGUUGCUUACCUUGUUGCCUGAGAGAUUUAAGUUUGCUGCAUGAAAAUAGCAAUUUGAAAAGAUGAAAGUUUAACAAAUGCUAUAAAUAGCAACCAACGCUCUUGUCAUUAUCAUUAACUACAGCACCACGCCCACUUCCCUUUCUGUUGUCUGUCAUUAACUGUUAUAGCUGAAGUGAAACUUGUUUCUAGUACAAUCACUAGAAUGAACAAUGAAACCAUAAAGAGAUCAAAGGAUUAGUGAAAUAAUUUGUUCUCUUUCAUGCACGGAAAAUGAACCUGACUUUCAGGGAUUCAUACUGACCAAAGCUCCUUUUGAGUUCCAAAGUUUGCUGCCCAUUUCCUCUUCCACUUCCCUAUAAGGAAUGUCUCAAUUGCUCAGUUUAUGAAAUGUUGUAAAAAGAAGAAUGCUUAUGGUAAGAAAUUACUUCCUUAGGUGUCUGAAUGGGUAAUAUUUUCUAUACUUACUCUACAAAUCAUAAAACUAAGUCUUGUUGAAUAUCCAUACAGCACACAUUAACCAUUUCUAAAGUAGUUUCUUUUUACCAAUCUUGGAAAUGUAUUUAUACAAGUGCUAGAUUUGCAGGUGCUAUUACCAGUAGUUAAAUAUUUUUAGAGUUGAAAUGUUCCAAGCCAAAAAGGAUUUGGUUCUUCCCCAAAGCAAAACACAUAAUUGGAGAAUUGUGGCAAUGGUAGAUAGAGAUGUUGCCUUAUAAAAUCUUCUGUAAUAUGUGGCUAUUUAUUUGGCAUAUAUUUUCAUUAUGAAAAAAAUGAAUGCAGAAGAUUAUGGGGAACAAUAUAACAAACAUCCAUGUAGUCAUGACUGAGAAUUAAUGAUGUUAACAAAUAUUAUGUGGAAGCUAAAAUAAAGUUGAUCUCAUAUAAGAAAAAAGUAGAACAGAGAAUACUAGAGGCUGGGAAGGGUAUGAGAAAGAUAGGGAUGGGGGAAGAUUUGUUAAAGGAUACAAAAUUACAGCUAGAAAGGAGAAAUAAAUUCUAGUUUCUAUACCACUGUAGAAUGACCAUAAUUAACAACAAUAUACUCUAUAGUUUCAAAUAGCUAGAAGGAAGAUACUGAAUGUUCCCAGCACAAAGAAGUGAUACAUGUUUAAGAUGAUGGAUAUGCCAAUUACUCUGAUCUGAUCACUAUAUAUUACAUGUCUCAAAAUAUCACCAUGUACUCCAUAAAUAUGUACAAUUAUGUCAAUUAUUAAAAUUUAAUUUAAUUUUAAAAAAUUAACAUUUUGUCCUACUUAUUUCGAAAUUUUUCUUCCUUCCUUUUAAAAUAAAUUAGACAUAAAAAACAGCUAUAACGCCCUUCACAGCACUUGAUUUUGCCCUUUCUUUUCUGCUAAUGUUUUCAUGUGCUAGUUUAAUUAUUCAUCUUUAUGGUAAGUGUUUGAAAACAAAAGCUUGCUUGCCUUUGUUUCUUGUGCUAGUGACUAGCACAAUUUCUGUAGCAUAAUAGAUAAAUGCUUG
This 15432-nucleotide long non-coding RNA is filed under the name Homo sapiens (human). RNAcentral's name for it is "non-protein coding lnc-BTC-5:3". Lineage: Eukaryota; Metazoa; Chordata; Mammalia; Primates; Hominidae. The record is from RNAcentral.